Molecule: ribosomal RNA, 598 nt
Filed under: Acarospora scabrida
Lineage: Eukaryota; Fungi; Ascomycota; Lecanoromycetes; Acarosporales; Acarosporaceae
Description: Myriospora scabrida LSU rRNA
Rfam family: Eukaryotic large subunit ribosomal RNA
Source: RNAcentral
UUGACCUCGGAUCAGGUAGGGAUACCCGCUGAACUUAAGCAUAUCAAUAAGCGGAGGAAAAGAAACCAACAGGGAUUGCCUCAGUAACGGCGAGUGAAGCGGCAACAGCUCAAAUUUGAAAUCUGGCCCUUGCUGGGUCCGAGUUGUAAUUUGUAGAGGAUGCUUCGGGUUCGGCUCCGGUCUAAGUUCCUUGGAACAGGACGUCACAGAGGGUGAGAAUCCCGUACGUGACCGGCCGCCACGCCCGUGUGAAGCUCCUUCGACGAGUCGAGUUGUUUGGGAAUGCAGCUCAAAAUGGGUGGUAAAUUUCAUCUAAAGCUAAAUACCGGCCAGAGACCGAUAGCGCACAAGUAGAGUGAUCGAAAGAUGAAAAGCACUUUGGAAAGAGAGUUAAAAAGUACGUGAAAUUGUUGAAAGGGAAGCGCUUGCAAUCAGACUUGCCCGCGGGUGAUCAGCCGGUAUUCUUACUGGUGCACUCGCCCGUGGUCAGGCCAGCAUCGGUUUGGGCGGCUGGACAAAGACCCCUGGAAUGUAGCUCCUCUCGGGGAGUGUUAUAGCCGGAGGUGCAAUGCAGCCAGCCCGGACCGAGGACCGCGCU